UACGUAGGGGGCUAGCGUUGUCCGGAUUUAUUGGGCGUAAAGAGCGUGUAGGCGGCCAGGUAGGUCUGGUGUGAAAACUCGAGGCUUAACCUCGAGAUGUCAUCGGAAACCAUCUGGCUAGAGUCCGGAAGAGGAGAGUGGAAUUCCUGGUGUAGCGGUGAAAUGCGCAGAUAUCAGGAAGAACACCAAUGGCGAAAGCAGCUCUCUGGGACGGUACUGACGCUGAGGUGCGAAAGCGUGGGGAGCAAACAGG
This 253-nucleotide ribosomal RNA is filed under the name uncultured bacterium. Its description in RNAcentral is "partial 16S ribosomal RNA". It matches the Rfam family "Bacterial small subunit ribosomal RNA", at positions 524 to 776 of the family's 1533-position model. The record is from RNAcentral.